RNAcentral lists this transfer RNA (70 nucleotides) under Ictidomys tridecemlineatus (thirteen-lined ground squirrel). Its description in RNAcentral is "Spermophilus tridecemlineatus (thirteen-lined ground squirrel) tRNA". It matches the Rfam family "tRNA". From Rfam's summary of the family: Transfer RNA (tRNA) molecules are approximately 80 nucleotides in length. Their secondary structure includes four short double-helical elements and three loops (D, anti-codon, and T loops). Lineage: Eukaryota; Metazoa; Chordata; Mammalia; Rodentia; Sciuridae. The record is from Rfam by way of RNAcentral.
GGGGUUGUGACUCAGUGGUAGAGUACUUGUUUUGCAAAUGAGAGACACUGGUGUUUGAUCCUCAGCACCA